Molecule: ribosomal RNA, 253 nt
Filed under: uncultured bacterium
Lineage: Bacteria
Description: partial 16S ribosomal RNA
Rfam family: Bacterial small subunit ribosomal RNA
Source: RNAcentral
UACAGAGGUCUCAAGCGUUGUUCGGAUUCAUUGGGCGUAAAGGGUGCGUAGGCGGCGCGGUAAGUCGGGUGUGAAAUCUCGGAGCUUAACUCCGAAACUGCAUUCGAUACUGCCGUGCUUGAGGACUGGAGAGGAGACUGGAAUUUACGGUGUAGCGGUGAAAUGCGUAGAUAUCGUAAGGAGGACCAGUGGCGAAGGCGGGUCUCUGGACAGUUCCUGACGCUGAGGCACGAAGGUCAGGGGAGCAAACGGG